UGUUUUGACAUAAUCGGACGUCAGUAACACAGGUGGUUAAAUAGAUAAAUAAAUAAUACCAAUAAUCACAAACUAAUAAAUAUAAGGAUCAUUACUAUUAGCACCGAUUGGUAUACUCAGAAGAAAACGCCUCGUGCUUUAUCACAAACAGAGCACAGACACUGAUCGUAAUAUAAUUAAAAUGAGUGAUUAUAAUGUAGGACGUUCUUUUCGGAAUUUUCUCGUUGGGGAAACGUUAUUACUCAGUCUGGUAAAUGCACUGCUACCAACACCUUUACAAUUCGAGAACAACGCACACAGUUUUCGUUUGACAGUUGAUACUCCGGCAGCCAUUCCAUGGAUAAAUCCCUAUUACAUGGACGCGAUCGUGUUUUUCAACAACGUUGAAGUCGGGGCCUGCGAUUUGUACAGAGGACAAAGCUAUGUCUUGAGUGAUGAAAUUCUAUCUCGUGUUUCGGUUAAUAUUAUAAAUGGGCAUUGCCAAUUAAACAUUUUCCGUGCAUCUUGUGAGGACAGAUACAUUGCGGUGAAACUAACAGGGACAUCGCAUGUAAUUAACGCUUCUCUUAUCGUUGACGGAUGCGACUCCAAACCAUUGGAUCCUACCGUCAAUGUGGAACAGCAUGAAUAUGACGUAGCUACUUUCAGCUUGUUAGAAAACAAUUCUGAUGACGUCACUGUAAAGCCAUCGCAAGUGGCUUAUUUCACCGCUCAACAUAAUACAUCUGUACGGACUGUGACCACUGUGCCAUACCACACCUCUACAGGUGGAAAGAUCACCGUGUCAAAGAGAGCAUUAUUUUCAUCGGUGAUAACAAUUGUAGCUAAACGCUGGUACCAUUUUCGUGCAUUUUUCGACAGGUUUUGAAAUUGUUUUAUGCCACGCAUUUUUUUGAUAAGUAUUGUUAUAUAAGGAAUUUAUAUUUAUAUUCGUAGUACUCAUCUGGAUAGUUAUUAACAUUUACCGAUUUUUACAAUAUCAUGUCUUCAAAUAAUUAAAACACUGUUAGGAAAUUAACUUGUUACAUGUUCCAUAUUUUACAGGCGAUACACACUUAUGUAUGAUAUUAUAUUUAUAGAAAAAUAUGACACAACUUUGAAAUUAUAUUACAUUUUGCUAUUAUGUUAUGUAUUAUGGGCCAGAUACCUUGAUUGACCAAAUAAACUGUUCUGUUCUA
This is a long non-coding RNA of Dreissena polymorpha, 1178 nucleotides long. RefSeq lists it as uncharacterized. The transcript has 2 exons. NCBI's taxonomy places the organism in Eukaryota, Metazoa, Mollusca, Bivalvia, Myida, Dreissenidae. The record is from RefSeq and is a predicted model, not a curated record.